CUCCCAUCGAGUCGUCAUUCUGCAGAUGAAGCCCUCCACACAGUGACACUUCUCUGCAGCAAGCCGCUUGGAGGUCUUCUCCAGCAGUUCUUGGAUGUUUAUUCUCUUUCCUAUACAACAGAAGGGGGGUCGAGAGGGCGGAGGAGGCUAACCUCCGUUUCAGAAAUCAUUUGCCUGUAAAAUAUGAAAAUAAAUAAAUAAUAACCACCUCGGAUUUUGAUGAAACUUUCAGGGAAAUUCUGUGGCUAAUAAGUGUGUUGAUGCCCAGCCACCAGGUGCUCGUUAACAUGCCCCAUAUCCAGGCCUGGCUCCAGAGUGGGGCCCUGUUGACCCACGUCCAGGCGAGGGAAUGACAUAAAGAGUGGUUCAACAAGAUGGCGGAGCUGAGUAACCAAACAGGACCAGGAGUAAAAAGGAGGCAAGCGGCAUGGAACGAGGAGGACUUCUCAAAGGAGGGUUUCCAGGAUGGCAGUAUGGAGGAGCAAAGCCCCAGGGUCAGGUAAUCAACCUUAGAGCAAAAACAAAGGGUAAAUCAAAAAUAUAUUUUGUUCUAGAAAACUUAGCAGACUAAAACAAUACCAUAAAGGUAAGAUGCAUCAGCUUGGACCAGAAGGUGAAGAUGCCUUAUAAAGCCAGCAUCUCAUCAGAUGAAAUCCCUCACAGGUGUAGAGAGAGUUCAGGAACCAAUCAGGAAAGAUGAAACCAAGACCAAUCAUCACAGGGAACACUGACUCCAUUUUUGGUACUCAUCAUUAGGGGUCUUUGGACUGCACUUUGUCUGAUCCCUCACCUAGGACCUAUUUGCCUUAGGUGACCCUACUG
Austrofundulus limnaeus is the source of this 822-nucleotide long non-coding RNA. RefSeq lists it as uncharacterized. NCBI's taxonomy places the organism in Eukaryota, Metazoa, Chordata, Actinopteri, Cyprinodontiformes, Rivulidae. The record is from RefSeq and is a predicted model, not a curated record. The transcript is spliced from 3 exons.